Molecule: ribosomal RNA, 269 nt
Filed under: uncultured bacterium
Lineage: Bacteria
Description: partial 16S ribosomal RNA
Rfam family: Bacterial small subunit ribosomal RNA
Source: RNAcentral
UUUGAUGGCGACCGGCGCACGGGUGAGUAACACGUAUCCAACCUGCCGAUGACUCGGGGAUAGCCUUUCGAAAGAAAGAUUAAUACCCGAUGGCAUAGUUCUUCCGCAUGGUAGAACUAUUAAAGAAUUUCGGUCAUCGAUGGGGAUGCGUUCCAUUAGGUUGUUGGCGGGUAACGGCCCACCAAGCCUUCGAUGGAUAGGGGUUCUGAGAGGAAGGUCCCCCACAUUGGAACUGAGACACGGUCCAAACUCCUACGGGAGGCAGCAUG